Molecule: non-coding RNA, 135 nt
Filed under: Spodoptera frugiperda (fall armyworm)
Lineage: Eukaryota; Metazoa; Arthropoda; Insecta; Lepidoptera; Noctuidae
Source: RNAcentral
GCAUUUCGCCGGCUCGGUCUGUAGCGGUUUGCGGACUCUAUGGGCCGAGGCAACUAACCUAACCAUCUUCUUGGACCUCUUUCGCGGGGUGGCGGGUCGACUCUCGAGUCAGGAAAAAUUGAAACCCCGCACCAU